AAUGAACGCUGGCGGCAGGCCUAACACAUGCAAGUCGAGCGGAGCGGCGGACGGGUGAGUAAUGCCUAGGAAUCUGCCUGGUAGUGGGGGAUAACGUCCGGAAACGGGCGCUAAUACCGCAUACUAUCAGAUGAGCCUAGGUCGAAUUAGUGAGUUGGUGGCGUAAAGGCCUACCAAGGCGACGAUCCGUAACUGGUCUGAGCGGGGGAUCAGUCACACUGGGACUGAGACGCGGUCCAGACUCCUACGGGAGGCAACAGUGGGGAAUAUUGGACAAUGGGCGAAGGCCUGUUCCAGCCAUGCCGCGUGUGUGAAGAGGGUCUUCGGAUUGUAAAGCACUUUAAAUUGGGGGGCGUUACCAUCAGAAUAAACACCGGCUAACUUCGUGCCAGCAGCCGCGGUAAUUC
Molecule: ribosomal RNA, 407 nt
Filed under: uncultured bacterium
Lineage: Bacteria
Description: partial 16S ribosomal RNA
Rfam family: Bacterial small subunit ribosomal RNA
Source: RNAcentral